RNA transcript from Solanum dulcamara, 1924 nucleotides. It is a transcript of the gene named pentatricopeptide repeat-containing protein At1g07740, mitochondrial, with no coding region annotated. Lineage: Eukaryota; Viridiplantae; Streptophyta; Magnoliopsida; Solanales; Solanaceae. The record is from RefSeq and is a predicted model, not a curated record. The transcript has 3 exons.
UAGUAGGAUGUUUGCUUAAUUAUAUAUACAUAUUUUUCCAUGAUCAAUUCAAGAGUUAAACAAGCUACCAUAACUCCUUCCAGAGUCAAAUUUCACAAUCUUGAACAAUUCAGAAUCCCAAAUUUCCAAUCCCAAUCAUACCACAGUCAUCGUUCUCACAGACCCACUUCAAAAUCCUCACCUGAAACUCAAAGCCCUCAUAAUAAGCCCAGAAGAAACCUUCUUCACAAGCCAAUACCACUCCUUGCCGAUCUCAAACAAAUUCAAGAUCCCGAUGAAGCUAUUUCGCUCUUCCAUGAUUACCAACAAAUGGGGUUCAAACAUGACUACCCAACUUAUUCUUGUCUUGUUUAUAAGCUCGCAAAGUCUCGAAAUUUUGAAGCUGUUGAAACCCUUCUUGGGUAUCUCCAAACCCAUUAUAUUCAAUGUAAAGAAACACUUUUUAUCGGGUUAAUUCAACAUUACGGGAAAGCCCAGUUAGUUGAUAAAGCUGUUGAGCUUUUCCACAAAAUGGGGUCGUUUAAUUGUUCGCGUAGUAUACAGUCUUUUAAUGCACUUUUGAAUGUGCUUGUUGAUAAUGGGCGUUCUGAAGAUGCGAAUGAGAUGUUAAGGAGUUGUUCGAAGAUGGGUAUCUGGUUAAAUUCUGUUUCGUUCAACAUUAUUAUCAAGAUGUGGCUGGAGAAGGGUGAUUGGGAAAUGGCUCGCCAAGUGUUUGAUGAAAUGCUUGGGAGAGAGAUUGAGCCAACUGUGGUGACUUACAAUUGUCAAAUUGUUUUUUUGUGUAAGAGGGGGGAUGUUGAAGGUGCUAAAAGUCUGUUUCAGGAUAUGGUUAGGAAGGGAAAGAAGGCAAAUGCUGUUUCUUAUGCUUCGCUCAUGGAAGGUUUAUGUUCUUUGGGGAAGUAUAAGGAAGCUAAGAAGUUGAUGUUUGAUAUGGAAUACCAAGGAUGUAAGCUGAAAAUAGUCAAUUAUGGUGUUUUGAUGACUGAUCUUUUGAAACGAGGUGAAAUUGGUGAGGCAAACAGUUUACUUGUGGAGAUGAAAAAAAGGCGUGUUAAGCCUGACAUUGUGAUCUAUAACAUGUUAAUCAAUUAUUUUUGUAAGGAAGGUAAGACUACUGAGGCGUAUAGGAUGUUAGUUGAUAUGCAAAUUGCAGGCUGCUAUCCUAAUGCAGCUACAUACAGGAUGGUGGUUGAUGGGUUUUGUAAAACAGGAGAAUUUGAGGAAGGUUUGAAGGUUUUGAAUGCAAUGUUGAUGAGCAGGCAUUUUCCACGUAUGGAAACAGUAAGGUGUUUGAUUCUUGGUCUGCUUGAUAAAGGGAAGGUUGAAGAUGCUUGCUUUGUUUUGGAGGAGAUGGAGAAGAGAAAGAAAAGGUUCGAUUUUGAUUCAUGGGAAGUCAUUGUCAAGGAUUCUUGCACUAGUGAUAGCAGUGUUUGCAUAGCGUAGAGUCCAUUUAAGGAUAAUUUCAAGAAGGGCUUUUCUGCUUGAAACAUAAAAGAUGAAAAGAGACCGGUGAUCACUCAUUUGUUAUAAGCUGACGGUACCAUUUGAUUUACAUCGUGUGACCUUGAAUCUACGAGAUGAUGCAGUGUUUCUGAACAAAUGAUUAACAAGGAGAAGUCUUCAUUCCUGGUAGCACCUUAGGCUUUUCAGAACAUGAUUUGGGGGAAUCAAGAUAUUGACAACAUUUCAGCACAAGAUUUCCCAUUACAUAUCUUGGUUUAUACAAGAAGGAAGAAGAUUUACUUAUUCAAUAAUAUGGUCAGAAUCCACAGAUGGAAUAAGUAGUUAUCUCAUGUAGGGCAGAGGAGUUUUGAUAUAUUUGUGUUGUAUUCACUUCCUAUGCACAUCUUGGCAGUUGUGGACCUUCUUAAAAUCACUAAUUUUCUUGAGAAGGUACAACAACAAUAGUGAGGUUUGGGGAGGG